GGUGCACAGUAUCUGCUGGCACGCCAUUUCAUCAUCAUCAAACGGCAGCAACAGUGGCGGCUACAACUGCGACCUGGCAAGGCGGUAUCCGUUUACCCGACAUAGCUUCCCCAGCUCCAUCUAAAUUUUCCCGGCCUGAUGAUAUUCAGGGGAUCCAAAAGAGACAGGGAGAGAGAGAGUGACUGACAGGUGGACUUUCCCCAACUUUGAAACGCACAGCAAGGAAUUUUGGCCUGCAUAUUGCAGCAGUAUCAUUGCCCGAAACGAACUACUGCCCACCUGAUCGCCUUUAAUCACCCUAGGACCAUUGCAACCUGCUUCUGAACCACUUUUCCGGAUGGAAUCUUCAAUUGCAAUCGCUACCCGAUGACUAGAAGUGAAAAACUAAACCAAACCGUAGAAGUACAAGUUGCACAGCAUUAAAAAUAAACUGUUUCUUUUAUUUAGUUUCGAUUUCUUGGAUACUUAUGAUAUAAGCCCUGGCAAUUCUGUAUUAAUAAAUAAAUUAUCAACCUGCUUUUGAAUUCUAAU
Molecule: non-coding RNA, 531 nt
Organism: Drosophila melanogaster (fruit fly)
Lineage: Eukaryota; Metazoa; Arthropoda; Insecta; Diptera; Drosophilidae
Source: Ensembl